Molecule: ribosomal RNA, 237 nt
Filed under: uncultured Glomeromycotina
Lineage: Eukaryota; Fungi; Glomeromycota
Description: partial small subunit ribosomal RNA
Rfam family: Eukaryotic small subunit ribosomal RNA
Source: RNAcentral
AGCAGCCGCGGUAAUUCCAGCUCCAAUAGCGUAUAUUAAAAGUUGUUGCAGUUAAAAAGUCGGUAGUUGAAAUUUUUUCGGGGUUCAAGUAAGGGUUUGGGUCGUGGCCAACCCGGGUAACGUACUUGGGUCUCACUGAUUUCCUCCUUUCCUGAUGAGCUGUAAUGCCAAUUAAUUGGUGUUUGCAGGGAAAUCUGGGACUGUUACUUUUUGAAAAAAAAUUUAGAGUGUUUUUAA